AAUCAACGCUGGCGGCGUGCCUAACACAUGCAAGUCGAACGAGAAAGUGGAGCAAUCCAUGAGUAAAGUGGCGACCGGGUGAGUAACACGUGACUAACCUACCUCCGAGUGGGGAAUAACUCCGGGAAACCGGGGCUAAUACCGCAUAACAUCGCAAGAUCAAAGCAGCAAUGCGCUUGGAGAGGGGGUCGCGGCUGAUUAGCUAGUUGGCGGGGUAACGGCCCACCAAGGCGAAGAUCGGUAUCCGGCCUGAGAGGGCGCACGGACACACUGGAACUGAAACACGGUCCAG
This 292-nucleotide ribosomal RNA is filed under the name uncultured bacterium. RNAcentral's name for it is "partial 16S ribosomal RNA". It matches the Rfam family "Bacterial small subunit ribosomal RNA", at positions 32 to 334 of the family's 1533-position model. The record is from RNAcentral.